RNAcentral lists this ribosomal RNA (362 nucleotides) under uncultured bacterium. RNAcentral's name for it is "partial 16S ribosomal RNA". It matches the Rfam family "Bacterial small subunit ribosomal RNA", at positions 338 to 697 of the family's 1533-position model. The record is from RNAcentral.
CCUACGGGAGGCAGCAGUGAGGAAUAUUGGUCAAUGGCCGGAAGGCUGAACCAGCCAUGCCGCGUGAAGGUCAGUGCCCUAUGGGCGUUAAACUUCUUUUGUGCGGGAGCAAGAAUGGGCACGUGGGGCCAGACGAGAGUACCGUACGAAUAAGCAGCGGCGAACUCCGGGCCAGAAGCCGCGGUAAUACGGGGGAUGCAAGCGUUAUCCGGAUUUAUUGGGUUUCAAGGGGGCGUAUGCUGUGAGGUAAGUCAGCGGUGAAAUGCCCCCGCUCAACGGGGUGAAGUGCCAUUGAUACUGCCUUGCUGGUCUGCGGCUGCCGUGGGAUGAAUGUGUGUUGUCGCGGUUCAAUGCCUAGAUCU